This 580-nucleotide long non-coding RNA is filed under the name Selaginella moellendorffii. RNAcentral's name for it is "long non-coding RNA (SMOE_LNC001770)". Lineage: Eukaryota; Viridiplantae; Streptophyta; Lycopodiopsida; Selaginellales; Selaginellaceae. The record is from RNAcentral.
GGCGGGGGCGCGUAGUGUAGGUUCAUGUUCGCGCCUGGACCGCCAUAGUCGCUGAUCUCUCCAAGGGGCGGGGGCGCGCCGUAGUGUGGGUUCCUGUUUGCCCCUGGAGCGUCAUAGUCGCUGGUAUGGACCUCUCCAAGGAGCUUCCUGCCUUUGAGAGCCUGGAAGAAAGAGAGAGAACUUCUUAUAACAGGAAAGGAAAAGGAAACGUAGAAGAAGAUUUCUCAACCUGGCCCUGCAAGCUUGCAUCUGCAAAUCCAAUUCAAAACAGUGAGAAACGAGAUUGUGGAGGAAGGUAACAGAGAAAUGAGAUCUAUAUGUGCUCCCUCUACCUUUGUUUCCGCUAGUAGCAAAAGCGGCAGUGAUGAGCAGGCAUGAGAGCAGGGCUGCGAGCACAAGCUUGCGAGAAGGAGCCAUUUCUAUACUAAGAGAGCCUAUAGAUCCAAACCAGGAGAGAAAGAAUGAGAAAAACAAAGGCCAAGCUCCCGUAGAUAAAGGCCGAGGAGCACAGACUCACACAAAAGCUGGCACAGACGUCGAAGGAAUGCAAGUGUUGUCCACUCAGUGGCCAAGAGUUAAC